This 301-nucleotide ribosomal RNA is filed under the name uncultured bacterium. Its description in RNAcentral is "partial 16S ribosomal RNA". It matches the Rfam family "Bacterial small subunit ribosomal RNA", at positions 509 to 807 of the family's 1533-position model. The record is from RNAcentral.
CAGCAGCCGCGGGAAAACGAAGGGUGCAAGCGUUAAUCGGAAUUACUGGGCGUAAAGCGUGCGAAGGCGGUGAGUUAAGUCUGCUGUGAAAUCCCCGGGCUCAACCUGGGAAUGGCAGUGGAUACUGGCUCGCUAGAGUGUGUCAGAGGAUGGUGGAAUUCCCGGUGUAGCAGUGAAAUGCGUAGAGAUCGGAAGGAACAUCUGUGGCGAAGGCGACUAUCUGGGCCAACACUGACACUGAGGCACGAAAGCGUGGGGAGCAAACAGGAUUAGAUACCCGGGUAGUCCCUGUCUCUUAUAC